RNAcentral lists this non-coding RNA (117 nucleotides) under Pan paniscus (pygmy chimpanzee). RNAcentral also lists the same sequence under 1 other name. The record is from Rfam by way of RNAcentral. Lineage: Eukaryota; Metazoa; Chordata; Mammalia; Primates; Hominidae.
GCUGGGUGCGGUGGCUCACACCUGUAAUCCCAGCACUUUGGGAGGCUGAGGUGGGAGGAUCACUUGAGGUCAGGAGUUCAAGACCAGCCUGGCCAACAUGGUGAAACCCCAUCUCUA